UGGGCAAAUUUUACGAAAGUAAAAGACGCAAAGCCACGGGCCUAAAGCAACUGCUAUGGCAGCCGGGUUGCCAA
RNAcentral lists this non-coding RNA (74 nucleotides) under uncultured Niallia sp. RNAcentral's name for it is "Cyclic di-GMP-I riboswitch". It matches the Rfam family "c-di-GMP-I riboswitch aptamer", at positions 10 to 86 of the family's 87-position model. From Rfam's summary of the family: GEMM was predicted in a large-scale screen for bacterial structured RNA regulatory elements. Genes associated with GEMM are involved in a diverse array of functions, including chemotaxis regulation, signal transduction, secretion and chitin. Lineage: Bacteria; Bacillati; Bacillota; Bacilli; Caryophanales; Bacillaceae. The record is from RNAcentral.